This 221-nucleotide ribosomal RNA is filed under the name uncultured bacterium. RNAcentral's name for it is "partial 16S ribosomal RNA". It matches the Rfam family "Bacterial small subunit ribosomal RNA", at positions 109 to 334 of the family's 1533-position model. The record is from RNAcentral.
AGUAAUGUAUGGGGAUCUGCCCGAUAGAGGGGAUAACUACUGGAAACGGUGGCUAAUACCGCAUAAUGUCUACGGACCAAAGCAGGGGCUCUUCGGACCUUGCACUAUCGGAUGAACCCAUAUGGGAUUAGCUAGUAGGUGGGGUAAAGGCUCACCUAGGCGACGAUCUUUAGCUGGUCUGAGAGGAUGAUCAGCCACACUGGGACUGAGACACGGCCCAG